UGGGGAAUUUUGGACAAUGGGGGAAACCCUGAUCCAGCCAUCCCGCGUGUGCGAUGAAGGCCUUCGGGUUGUAAAGCACUUUUGGCAGGAAAGAAACGUCGCGGGUUAAUACCCCGCGAAACUGACGGUACCUGCAGAAUAAGCACCGGCUAACUACGUGCCAGCAGCCGCGGUAAUACGUAGGGUGCAAGCGUUAAUCGGAAUUACUGGGCGUAAAGCGUGCGCAGGCGGUUCGGAAAGAAAGAUGUGAAAUCCCAGAGCUUAACUUUGGAACUGCAUUUUUAACUACCGGGCUAGAGUGUGUCAGAGGGAGGUGGAAUUCCGCGUGUAGCAGUGAAAUGCGUAGAUAUGCGGAGGAACACCGAUGGCGAAGGCAGCCUCCUGGGAUAACACUGACGCUCAUGCACGAAAGCGUGGGGAGCAAACAGGAUUAGAUCACCGUGGUCAGUCCACCGCCUAAACGAUGUCAACUCAGCCUAGUU
Molecule: ribosomal RNA, 482 nt
Filed under: uncultured bacterium
Lineage: Bacteria
Description: partial 16S ribosomal RNA
Rfam family: Bacterial small subunit ribosomal RNA
Source: RNAcentral